GUUGGUUGGCUCGUUGGCUUUGCGCUGACGAGCCGUGGUGUAUACCUACUAUAUUUACCAUAUGUUCAUAUCUAUAGAUACGUAUACACGUAGCAUAUACUAUAUAGACGAUACCUGAUUAAAAUUGAAAUCCGCAAACGAAAACAAUGUCUUUAUAACCUUACUAGAUUUAUUGGAACGUGUAUUUGAAGUUUUCACGCCAUUGAGUUUUAAUUAAUAUGCUAUGAAUUGUCACCAGAGUAUUCUUUUUGAUCGUUAUAAUCUGCCUAAUGAGAAUUAUGUCAACAAAAUAUUUGCAACCAGCAGAUUCUGUUAAUUGGAAACAAGGUGAUUUGAAUCAAGUCAAUAUUCCUAUUCAGAAAACAUACAACUUACUUAUCAACAAAACACAUGGAAUUUCACAUAAUAUUAAAAUAAUAUGGUCAGCGAUUGAGUUAAAAAAUAUAACCAUUGAUUUAGCAAAGAUUCGUUAUGCUAUGCACUAUAUUGACAAAGACAAGGGUUUGGCUAAUUGUACUUACGUCAAAAAUUUCUCCAACCACCAAGCUGUAUUACCCUUUCAUAGAGCUGUUAAACCAUUUAUAUAUAUGACCACAAAUAAGCACAAAAAGUUAAUUAUUAUAAUUUGAAAAGUUUGAAUCUAUAAAAUACGUUUAGAAAUUUGUGAAUCAAGUAAUACAAGAAUUUUUUUAAUAAUCAAAUACUUCAAUAUAAUGAAAUACUCAAACUAGGUUCAACUAAUAAAAAUCUUUAGAAUCGAUAAAAGCUCCUCGACAAUACAUAAUAGCACUGAAAAAUUAUUAAGUAAUUCAAAACAAAUUUAUAAAUAACAGAAGAGUUUCCAAGAGUAAUCAAACACUAUAUUUUAUAAAUGGAUUAACUGAUUGUUACUUAGAUGUGCUAAAACAAUUUUAACACAAAAAUACAGAACAAAGGAUAUUCUACCCUGGGAGAAACGUUAACUGUUAAUAAGUUAAGUUUUGGGUCACUUAGCUAAGUUAUGGUAACAAUUUAAAUAAAUAAGAGUUUCAACAUUAUAAAUGCAUAGAUAUACACAUUAACUCAAGAUAAAACAGAACAUUUGCUUGAAAUUUGUCAAAUGACUGUUACAAUCCAGAAAUUAUAGAAAAAUAUCUUGCAAUCGUGAAAAAUCCAAAUAUUUGUAAUAAAACAUGCAAACGAUUUAAUGCAAGAAAAAAAGGAAAAAACAAUUUUUAACUUAAAAAUAAUACUGUGUUGGUAUAAUAGACACGCAUCACUAAAAUAUUAGCUAACAUUUAGCUUUAUUUUUUUACAUUCAAAUUUGAUAAUAAUGGUCAACUAAACUUAACUUUUUAACGGUUUUCACUCGUUAAUUUUCUACCAGGGUACUUUAUAUAAUAUGAAAAAUAAAUUGACUCACAAAUGAGCUUGAACUAAAAAGACUGCAAAGAAUGAAAGAUGUAAGUUGUGCAUAAUGUGCCUUUAAAAAAAAUAGUAAAGAUAGAUAUUGUCAUUUAAGUGAUAUUUUUUCAUUUUUUAUCUUUCAAUUAUAUUAAAAUGAUUAUUUUUAUAUCUUAUAUUGAUGAAAUAUUUAGAUUUUUUACUAUUUUAUCGUGCUAUUUAUUGUUAAAACUAUUAGUUCGACUAAUUUGUUUACAUGUAGAUAAUAUUAUUUUUAUAUAUUUUAUUGAUCCUAUUGAUGAAUAUUAAAUAAUUUAGUAUCUUUUUAAUUUCAUCAUUUAGAAUAUGCUAAUGUGACUGUUUUUAAAGAAAACUAUUUAUGCCUCGUAUUUUGUAAUGCAAUUUGUAUAGAGUUGGUUGCACAUUCCAUUUUGAUAUUUUGUAUUUUGAUAAAAAUUUAGAAAAUGUUUUUAACUUUUCUACAUCCUUUUUAUAAAUAACAACAAUUUUACCUAAUGUAUACGUUUUAUAAUAAUACGAAAUGUUUUUAAUUUUAUUAUACAAAUAAAUAGAUGUUUUUUAUUAAUAAAA
This 1974-nucleotide long non-coding RNA is filed under the name Nasonia vitripennis (jewel wasp). Its description in RNAcentral is "uncharacterized LOC116416332". Lineage: Eukaryota; Metazoa; Arthropoda; Insecta; Hymenoptera; Pteromalidae. The record is from RNAcentral.